This 72-nucleotide transfer RNA is filed under the name Ruegeria atlantica. Its description in RNAcentral is "tRNA-Lys". The stretch from base 12 to 69 matches the Rfam family "tRNA". Rfam says of the family: Transfer RNA (tRNA) molecules are approximately 80 nucleotides in length. The record is from RNAcentral. Lineage: Bacteria; Pseudomonadati; Pseudomonadota; Alphaproteobacteria; Rhodobacterales; Roseobacteraceae.
AGACCGUAGAAAAGCCGUUUGAACUAACUUUUAAUCAGUGGGUCGCAGGUUCGAAUCCUGCACGGCUCACCA